CCCGCAGGGCUCCGGGCGGCCGUGACCCUGCUGGAGUGCGGGGGGGACCUCCAGCCCCCCGGGGGGUCCCUGCGCCUCCUCUGCCGAGGGGCCGGGUUCAGUUUUGGGAGUUUUGACAUAUUCUGGGUGCGCCAGAGACCCGGGCAGGGCUUGGAGUGGCUCGCAGGGAUCAGCAGCAGUGGUUCCAGCACCUACUACGCGCCGUCGGUCAAGGGCCGGUUCAGGAUCUCCAGGGACAACGGGCAGAGCUCGGUGACGCUGACCAUGAACAGCCUCAAGGACGAGGAUUCCGGAUCCUAUUUCUGUGCCAAACGUGACAAUGCUUAUGCUGGUGGUAAUGCUGCUGCUGUUUUUGCCAUCACUCCUGGUGGUGACCAUGAGGGUGGUGAAAUUUCUCCGUUCCCAGCGAUGCUUCCCCCAAGUUUCAGCCCUCCUAAAGCCUCAACCAUUUUCUCCCAAACUCUGCCAUUGUUGCCCCAACUCUCGACUUUAUCCCAGUUUUGCCCAUUUCACCCAAAUCUCCCCCAGCUCCCCGGGCCCUGA
Molecule: non-coding RNA, 543 nt
Organism: Melospiza melodia melodia
Lineage: Eukaryota; Metazoa; Chordata; Aves; Passeriformes; Passerellidae
Source: the annotation of a RefSeq genome assembly